UACGUAGGGGGGCUAGCGUUGUCCGGAAUCAUUGGGCGUAAAGAGCUCGUAGGCGGUUUGUCGCGUCUGCCGUGAAAGUCCGGGGGCUCAACUCCGGAUCUGCGGUGGGUACGGGCAGACUAGAGUGAUGUAGGGGGAGACUGGAAUUCCUGGUGUAGCGGUGAAAUGCGCAGAUAUCAGGAGGAACACCGAUGGCGAAGGCAGGUCUCUGGGCAUUAACUGACGCUGAGGAGCGAAAGCGUGGGGGAGCAAACAGG
This 257-nucleotide ribosomal RNA is filed under the name uncultured bacterium. RNAcentral's name for it is "partial 16S ribosomal RNA". It matches the Rfam family "Bacterial small subunit ribosomal RNA", at positions 524 to 776 of the family's 1533-position model. The record is from RNAcentral.